Molecule: small RNA, 144 nt
Filed under: Flavobacterium dankookense
Lineage: Bacteria; Pseudomonadati; Bacteroidota; Flavobacteriia; Flavobacteriales; Flavobacteriaceae
Description: Flavo-1 RNA
Source: RNAcentral
UUGCGACCGUGAUAGUAGUGAAAAGCUUUGAGCUAAAAAAAACUUAUUUUUUGCCAACAGAAAAAGCGACUAAAAGAAGCUCUUUUCUGUUGUUGCAAAAAUAGUUUUUUUAGCGAGAACUUGAAACGGAUAGCACGAAUUGUC